CAGGUGGCAAGGAGAGGGGAAAGGGCAAAGAAGAGAAGCAGACUCCCCACUGAGUGCAGAACCCAAUAUGAGGCUCAACCCUGCAACCCUGAGAUCAUGACUUGAGCCGGACGCUUAGGUGACUGAGCCACCCAGUGCCCCCAUAUGGGUGUUUUUAUAAGAAGGGAUUCUAGAGAUGGUCCUCUGUCUGCACAUUCACAAAGGAGAGGCCUACAUGGACACAGCAGGAAUGGGGCUGUCUACCCAGGACAUGAGCCCUCACCAGCACCCAACCUUGCUGGCACUUUGAUCUUAGAUUUCCAGCUUUCAGGACUGUGCCAAUUAAAUGUCUCACUGUUUAAGCCCUAGCAGAGUAACAUAACCUCGAAGGUCUAGGAGCCAGCGAGCAUGAAGUUGGUGGACAGUAGCUAUUUGUUGAGUGAAGUCAGUGGGUACCAUCCCCUUAGAGGAAUUGCUUAAGUCAUUGUCUUGUCGCAGCACCAUUGAACCUCCAUUCCCAGAACCAGCAGGGCUGAACUUGAAGUGAAUCAAAGAGGCCCUAUUUGCCCCUUCUUUGGUAACAGUGACAACCUGCACAUGCAUGUGAAUUGGUGAAUAUAGCGAGAAUGGAUGACCAACACUGCUCCAUUAAGGGGAAGAACAUUCAAUUGUGCUGUGAAGUUAUGAGCCCCCUCUGUUCUAAUGGUGCACAGAUCACAGGAUCAGUCUUGGUCAGAGGCCAGUCAUUUUCCAAACUGCAUUUUAAACUGCUCCAGCUGACACUGGUCAAUGGCGGAAGACGGAAAGCUCUCCUCUCCUGUCAGAUCCAGUACAAGGCAAGGAUAUCCACCCACACCACUUCUACUCAAUAUAGUACUGAAAGUCCUAGCUAGAGCAGUUAGGCAAGAAAAAUUGGAAAAGAAGAAAUAAAAUUAUUUCUGUUUGUAUAUGGCACAACCACAUCAGUAGGAAUAACUGUAAGAACUCAAUAACACAAAUUUUUGAAGUAAUAGAAAAAUUCAAUGAAGUUGCAGGUAAAAUAUUAACAUAUAAAAAUAUCAUGUUCCCAUACACAAACAAUGGAUUAUCCAAAAAGGAAAUUUUUAAAAAUCC
Molecule: long non-coding RNA, 1092 nt
Filed under: Mustela putorius furo (domestic ferret)
Lineage: Eukaryota; Metazoa; Chordata; Mammalia; Carnivora; Mustelidae
Description: lncRNA (ENSMPUG00000028841.1)
Source: RNAcentral